Molecule: ribosomal RNA, 492 nt
Filed under: uncultured bacterium
Lineage: Bacteria
Description: partial 16S ribosomal RNA
Rfam family: Bacterial small subunit ribosomal RNA
Source: RNAcentral
AGUGAACGCUGGCGGUAGGCCUAACACAUGCAAGUCGAACGGCAGCACAGUAAGAGCUUGCUCUUACGGGUGGCGAGUGGCGGACGGGUGAGGAAUACAUCGGAAUCUACUUUUUCGUGGGGGAUAACGUAGGGAAACUUACGCUAAUACCGCAUACGACCUACGGGUGAAAGCAGGGGAUCUUCGGACCUUGCGCGAUUGAAUGAGCCGAUGUCGGAUUAGCUAGUUGGCGGGGUAAAGGCCCACCAAGGCGACGAUCCGUAGCUGGUCUGAGAGGAUGAGGAGCCAGACUGGAAAUGAGAGACGGUCCAGACGCAUACGGGAGGCAGCAGUGGGGAAUAUUGGACAAUGGGCGCAAGCUUGAUCCAGCCAUACCGCGGAGGUGAAGAAGGCCUUCGGGUUGUAAAGCCCUUUUGUUGGGAAAGAAAAGCAGCAGGUGAAUACCCCGCUGGUCUGACGGGACCCAAAGAAUAAGCACCGGCUAACUUCGUG